RNAcentral lists this ribosomal RNA (252 nucleotides) under uncultured bacterium. Its description in RNAcentral is "partial 16S ribosomal RNA". It matches the Rfam family "Bacterial small subunit ribosomal RNA", at positions 57 to 305 of the family's 1533-position model. The record is from RNAcentral.
GCAAGUCGAACGGUAACAGACGAAAGCUUGCUUUCGUGCUGACGAGUGGCGGACGGGUGAGUAAUGCAUAGGAAUCUGCCCAGUAGUGGGGGAUAACGUGGAGAAAUCCACGCUAAUACCGCAUAUGUCCUACGGGACAAAGCAGGGGACCUUCGGGCCUUGCGCUAUUGGAUGAGCCUAUGUCGGAUUAGCUUGUUGGUGAGGUAAAAGCUCACCAAGGCAACGAUCCGUAGCUGGUCUGAGAGGAUGAUC